GUCCUUGGGAAAGCCCUGCUAGCUGGCUACAUAGUGGCUGGGCUCCUAUUAUAUAUACCUCUGACAUCUGCACAGGGUUCAUGGGGUUCAUAGGGUUCAUCCCUAGAGACCACCAAGAGCUGGCUUCUAUUACAACCUGGGUACAAGAGGAGAAGAUGGCCAGAGCCACUACGAGGUACUGAGAAGCCAUUGUGCUGCCAAGUGUCCCCAGAGCACCUCCUUGGAUUAAUACUGCAGUGGAUUUCUAGAGGGGGGAGAAAAAGGAUCAGAUUGUUUAUUGCUUCUCAGACCAUUUUCGAGCAUUCAAGUUUAAACAACGGAAGUACCCGGGCCCCUUUUAACUCGGCUCUGCCUCCGCUGCCCUUCUCCCCGCCGCGGCGCUGCUGCCGGACGGGGCCACCCCGCGCCCCCACCCCCGGACACCGCCUUCCCGGGGCGGCCGCACCGCUCCGCACCCCGCCGGGGCGGGACGGGACGGGCACGGCGGACCCCAGCCCAGCCCUCCCCGCCACCCCGAGGCUAUCAGCACCCCACGGGCCGCGCUUUACCCCAUUGCUCCUCGCUCCUGAGCCAGCGCCGCGGACACGGAGCGCUCCCGGCCGGCGAAAAGCAGCUUCAGGGUCGGGAGAAGAGGACCGAUCGCUGCCACGAGAGCGCCGGAACGCGGCGGGGCCGUUCCCAUCACCCUGGAGCCCUUCGCCGGGCGAACCGGGCCCGGCCGCGUCAAUCCUGCGGGGCUCAGCCCCGACAGAGCGGCCCGCUCCUCUCUGCGUUCCGGACCGGACGAGGCCCGGGAGAGGUGCGAAAGCCACAUAACGACCAAGGGACGGGGCUGAGCACUCUGUGCUGGGAGCUCUCUACAGCCCGCGAACACCGAGGGGUGGGUUUGGGGUUUAUUUCUUUGCAUCCACGAGUUCUUCAGAUAACAACGGUAAAGAAACGCCGCAGAGCUGCCCGAGCCUGAGAACUUCGGAGACGCCGGACCGCAGCGGGACCGCAGCGGGACCCCAGCUCAGUGCUGCCGGGCUGCGAGCCUAAAGUCUCGUACCUCCCUACCCCGUUCCGGAGGUCCGGUGCCCCCCGCAGCUCCCGGCCCACAGCGCUGGUGCUCCGCUCCCGACAGGGGGCGGCCUCGGCCGCUGCAGCCCCCGGGGGGCGCCGGGCGGCCGCUGCCCUCCGCCGGCACCUCCCGCUGCCCCCAGCGCUCUUCUCGCCCUCCCGGAGCGGGAGGAGGCACCUGCGCCCGGGGGUUCGGCCCCGCCGCACGCAGCAGCUGACGGGCUGCCAUCAACAACAAAAAUGGGAAAAGAGGAAAAAAAAAAAAAAGUGGGAAAGAAAAAAAAAGGCUCGCCGGCAGCACGGCGGGAUUGGAUUGGCCAUCGGGAGCGCGAGGCACCGUUUUCAACUUUGUAGGGCCGCAGAGAUCGGGUUGUGGUAUUUAAUGCACCCCAUGCGGAGCCCGCGCUCGUUGCCGAGAUGAAGGGGGCGGCUUUACGCCUGUGAUCGUGUUUUACACGGGGCGUCUGGAGAGCCGCGAGGGCAUCUGGAGCGCCGGCAGCGCUGCUACCUGCGGGCGGGCGGCACCGCGACCGCGGCUCCGGGCAGAGGGGGCGGCCGGGGGCUGUCCGCGGGGGGCGGCCGCCUCGGAGCGCCGUGCGCGGGGCCGGGGAGCCCCCGGGGAGGACGCGCACCUCCGGCCCCCGCGGCCCGGGGGAGCGUCGGGGCUCGGUCCGCCUGAACUCUGGGUGACCCACCGAGUUAGCAUACAAUUGCCAACGACAAACAAACAAACAAGGAAAAGGCUCGCCAACAUGGAGUCCUCGCAGCGCCGAGGGGACCCCGAGGAGCAGCGAUCCUCCGCUCUGCCCCAGGCGGGACCCUCUGCAGAUGCAGAGUGAUAAUCUCCAGAAACUUAGAAUAAAGUUAAAGGGGGGCGGGAGGGGGGGGGGGGGGGCUGACUCCGGGUCCUCGGCUGGCCCCCAGCCAGCGUUCCUUAAAGGCACAGGCACCGGAGCGCCGGCGCCGGGCUCCUCCACAGCGAUCCUCCGCGGGGAAGUUGGGGAAGUUCGGGGCGAUGUCUUUAACACCGCCGGGAUGGGGCACCGGGUGCGCAGCUACCGGCGGCACCGCGUGGAAAAAAAAAAAAGAAAAAAAGAAAAAAAGAGAAAAA
This 2170-nucleotide long non-coding RNA is filed under the name Gallus gallus (chicken). Lineage: Eukaryota; Metazoa; Chordata; Aves; Galliformes; Phasianidae. The record is from RNAcentral.